GCGCCAGUAGCUCAACGGAUAGAGCAUCAGUCUUCGGAACUGAGGGUUGGGGGUUCGAAUCCCUUCUGGCGCG
Molecule: transfer RNA, 73 nt
Filed under: Chloroflexota bacterium
Lineage: Bacteria; Bacillati; Chloroflexota
Also listed under: 2 other names
Description: Chloroflexi bacterium tRNA-Arg
Rfam family: tRNA
About the family: Transfer RNA (tRNA) molecules are approximately 80 nucleotides in length.
Source: RNAcentral